RNAcentral lists this ribosomal RNA (253 nucleotides) under uncultured bacterium. RNAcentral describes it as "partial 16S ribosomal RNA". It matches the Rfam family "Bacterial small subunit ribosomal RNA", at positions 524 to 776 of the family's 1533-position model. The record is from RNAcentral.
GACAGAGGGUGCAAGCGUUAAUCGGAAUUACUGGGCGUAAAGCGCGCGUAGGUGGUUUGUUAAGUUGAAUGUGAAAUCCCCGGGCUCAACCUGGGAACUGCAUGCAAAACUGGCAAGCUAGAGUAUGGUAGAGGGUGGUGGAAUUUCCUGUGUAGCGGUGAAAUGCGUAGAUAUAGGAAGGAACACCAGUGGCGAAGGCGACCACCUGGACUGAUACUGACACUGAGGUGCGAAAGCGUGGGGAGCAAACAGG